GUAAGUGAGUAAUAAGGUCCGUAACUGUUGUUCGUAGAUCUGAUCGACUGCGUGCAGGAGAAUAACGGGUGCUUGGGCGGCACGAUAGAGGAAGGCUUGGAAUACUUGAAGAAGUACGGUGUGACCUUGGAAGAAAACUACCCUUUCACCGCGGAGGAAGGAGAAUGCGAUUUAGACUCUCGACCAUACUUGAAGAUUACCGACUAUCGCACCCUGAGUCAGCGCGGUGACCCGGACAGGGGUAUACCCGAAAUUUGGGCGCAGGACUUCCAAAUGGAAGCAGCUUUGGAGGAGGGUCCCCUACCAGUUGGAUACCCUCAAUCCCCCUCAAUCCUUCAAUACUAUGUGCGGGGAAUUUUUGCUCCACCUGCUUGGGUGCAUGAUACGACUACUGGCCACGCUGUUGUGAUUGUCGGCCACUAUGCACGACGCCCCCUCGAUUGUUGGAUCCUCCGGAAUAGCUGGGGCCCUGACUGGGGUAUGGAGGGACAUUUUCUGGUCCUAAAAAGAACAAUGGGCAUCGGCUGGAACGUAAAUAAAAUAGUCGGACCGUUGGUACAGCAAUUCUGGAGUGAGCCAGGUUCUGAGGACCCAUCCACCCCCUCUGAUGAUGGAGCCGGCCCCUCUUAUCAAAAUUAUCAGUACGGAUACGACCUCCCCGAUAUGUCACGAUUGAAUAUACACGAUGAUAAUUAUUAUCCUCAAGAUUAUCAUAAUUAUUAUCAUCAUUAAUAAUCUCCAAAGCCAUCUUAGUGAUGGCCAUUUUUGAAUGAUCUUAUUUAUAUAAUUUUUUACUGAAUAAAGUUUCUACCAUUUCUCGAGAGGAAAAAAUUUCAUACUAUGUUUUGUUUCCGUGCAUAUCUAAUAUAAGUCCUAGAAUCGGUGAAUUCUGAAUUUUUGUUUGCGGCAACCAAUCGAUGCUGGCCAAAUCAGUUAUUGAAGACGAACUUAUUUGCUUGCCAAAUAAUCAGUGGAUCAGUGGUUUAUUAAACAUCUAGUUGGAUAUUGAUAGUGCUGCUAAUCCUUUGAUUCACUUAUUUUGUAAUCUUUAGUAUUUUUCUUUUUGGUAUUUUCACUAAACUUCUGCAAUGUAGUGCUUAGUAGUUUUAAUUUGUUUGUGCUUGUUUCGUUUUUUGUUUAUACAUUUUCGCCCUGAAGAUGAACCCUGGUGGUUUGAAAAUCUUCGGCAUGAAUUAAUACCUCAAAUAAACAUGGUUAAAAUGUAUAGCAUAUUGGUUCUCUUUUUCAAUCCUUACAUUUAGUUGUGCUACUCAAACCAUAAUGUUAAAUCAGUGGAUGUUUGGAUUGACAAAAUUUGUCUCUUUCCCCAGGACCUAG
Molecule: long non-coding RNA, 1338 nt
Filed under: Bemisia tabaci
Lineage: Eukaryota; Metazoa; Arthropoda; Insecta; Hemiptera; Aleyrodidae
Description: lncRNA ENSSSA3NGG010996
Source: RNAcentral